CGCGGUGUGGUGAAAUGGUAGACACGCCCACUCGGGAAGUGGGUGAGCUCCGGCUUGUGGGGGUCCGAAUCCCCCCACCGCGACCA
RNAcentral lists this transfer RNA (86 nucleotides) under Methylobacterium sp. RNAcentral describes it as "tRNA-Pro". It matches the Rfam family "tRNA". From Rfam's summary of the family: Transfer RNA (tRNA) molecules are approximately 80 nucleotides in length. Their secondary structure includes four short double-helical elements and three loops (D, anti-codon, and T loops). Further hydrogen bonds mediate the characteristic L-shaped molecular structure. tRNAs have two regions of fundamental functional importance: the anti-codon, which is responsible for specific mRNA codon recognition, and the 3' end, to which the tRNAs corresponding amino acid is attached (by aminoacyl-tRNA synthetases). tRNAs cope with the degeneracy of the genetic code in two manners: having more than one tRNA (with a specific anti-codon) for a particular amino acid; and 'wobble' base-pairing, i.e. permitting non-standard base-pairing at the 3rd anti-codon position. The record is from RNAcentral. Lineage: Bacteria; Pseudomonadati; Pseudomonadota; Alphaproteobacteria; Hyphomicrobiales; Methylobacteriaceae.